AUGUGUAUGUGGGACAAAAGUUUUUGGAGUGGAGUAACAGCUUGUCUUGGCAGGUUUAACAUCAACUUGGUUUUGGGACAACAACUUUUAGGGUGUGCAGGAUGUUUUGUUUUGAUUUGGCUUGUUGCAACAGGCUGUUUUGUUUUGAUUUUGCUUGUUGCAGUAGGCUGUUUUACUUUGAUAGCAGGGGCAGGUUUUGGAUUGUUGUGGAAAGGAUAUUUUGUUUUUUAUUAG
Vicia faba (fava bean) is the source of this 234-nucleotide non-coding RNA. The record is from the annotation of a GenBank genome assembly. NCBI's taxonomy places the organism in Eukaryota, Viridiplantae, Streptophyta, Magnoliopsida, Fabales, Fabaceae.